This 474-nucleotide ribosomal RNA is filed under the name uncultured organism. Its description in RNAcentral is "partial 16S ribosomal RNA". It matches the Rfam family "Bacterial small subunit ribosomal RNA", at positions 335 to 800 of the family's 1533-position model. The record is from RNAcentral.
ACUCCUGCGGGAGGCAGCAGUGGGGAAUUUUGGACAAUGGGCGAAAGCCUGAUCCAGCCAUGCCGCGUGCAGGAUGAAGGCCUUCGGGUUGUAAACUGCUUUUGUACGGAACGAAACGGCCUUUUCUAAUAAAGAGGGCUAAUGACGGUACCGUAAGAAUAAGCACCGGCUAACUACGUGCCAGCAGCCGCGGUAAUACGUAGGGUGCAAGCGUUAAUCGGAAUUACUGGGCGUAAAGCGUGCGCAGGCGGUUAUGUAAGACAGUUGUGAAAUCCCCGGGCUCAACCUGGGAAAUGCAUCUGUGACUGCAUAGCUAGAGUACGGUAGAGGGGGAUGGAAUUCCGCGUGUAGCAGUGAAAUGCGUAGAUAUGCGGAGGAACACCGAUGGCGAAGGCAAUCCCCUGGACCUGUACUGACGCUCAUGCACGAAAGCGUGGGGAGCAAACAGGAUUAGAUACCCGAGUAGUCCCAUGA